This is a non-coding RNA of Gossypium hirsutum (cotton), 145 nucleotides long. NCBI's taxonomy places the organism in Eukaryota, Viridiplantae, Streptophyta, Magnoliopsida, Malvales, Malvaceae. The record is from Rfam.
UUUUAAAAUUUUCAUCCAUUUUUACUGUUAAAAAUUGACUCUGUACAUCAACAUAAAGUAUACAUGGCAUGCCAUGUGUAAUUAUCUAGUUAUUUUAUCAGCCAUGUUAGUUUUUAACAAUAGAAAUGGAUGAAAUUUUUUAAUA